CUGAAACCUGAUAAAGAUAAACACUGCGAGUACAUGCAUGCUCUUCCAAUUAGAUCCAAAUCAAGACAAAAAACAAAAACCCUUAUAUCAAAAGAGCUUGUUCAAUGUGGGUUAUAUAUAUAUAUAUAGUAAAAUAAUUUAGUGUUGUCUAAGCAAUUAACACCAUAUUUAAAAAGCAAAACAACUACAAGAAAUAAACUUAUCAAGCACGAAAUUAUUCAUCAUGAUUUUAUCCCAAUUAUCUCCAUGCAUCUCUACUCCCUCAAAAGAGUAACCAAACAUUAUUUAUUUAUUUUUUAAGAAAUAAAUUUACCAUUUAAUUUGCAAGCAGUAUACAUGUGAGUUCUCUUAGACCUGAUGCACAUGCAAAGAACAAGCAGUGAUCUAUGGCAUAUAAUAUUUGUUUUGAAAAACAAAAUUCUGGUGAUCAAUGGAUACAAAAGUGCUUCUUGCUUUCAUUUUUUCGAACAAAAUAAAAGCCUUUCUAUAUAAUUGAUCAUGCCUGAUUUUCAAGAUGAGAAAAUACUCUAUGAACAAGGGAAAAUAAAUAUCGGAAGGACAUGUAGAAGCAUCGAAGUAAUACAUAAAAGUUUAGCA
Populus euphratica (Euphrates poplar) is the source of this 597-nucleotide long non-coding RNA. RefSeq lists it as uncharacterized. The record is from RefSeq and is a predicted model, not a curated record. The transcript is spliced from 2 exons. Lineage: Eukaryota; Viridiplantae; Streptophyta; Magnoliopsida; Malpighiales; Salicaceae.